UACGAAGGGGGCUAGCGUUGCUCGGAAUUACUGGGCGUAAAGCGCACGUAGGCGGCUUUCUAAGUCGGGGGUGAAAUCCUGGAGCUCAACUCCAGAACUGCCUUUGAUACUGGAAAGCUCGAGUCCGGGAGAGGUGAGUGGAACUGCGAGUGUAGAGGUGAAAUUCGUAGAUAUUCGCAAGAACACCAGUGGCGAAGGCGGCUCACUGGCCCGGUACUGACGCUGAGGUGCGAAAGCGUGGGGAGCAAACAGG
RNAcentral lists this ribosomal RNA (253 nucleotides) under uncultured bacterium. Its description in RNAcentral is "partial 16S ribosomal RNA". It matches the Rfam family "Bacterial small subunit ribosomal RNA", at positions 524 to 776 of the family's 1533-position model. The record is from RNAcentral.